RNAcentral lists this ribosomal RNA (497 nucleotides) under uncultured bacterium. RNAcentral's name for it is "partial 16S ribosomal RNA". It matches the Rfam family "Bacterial small subunit ribosomal RNA", at positions 28 to 507 of the family's 1533-position model. The record is from RNAcentral.
GAUGAACGCUGGCGGCGUGCCUAAUACAUGCAAGUCGAGCGAACGGACGAGAAGCUUGCUUCUCUGAUGUUAGCGGCGGACGGGUGAGUAACACGUGGAUAACCUACCUAUAAGACUGGGAUAGCUUCGGGAAACCGGAGCUAAUACCGGAUAAUAUUUUGAACCGCAUGGUUCAAAAGUGAAAGACGGUCUUGCUGUCACUUAUAGAUGGAUCCGCGCUGCAUUAGCUAGUUGGUAAGGUAACGGCUUACCAAGGCAACGAUGCAUAGCCGACCUGAGAGGGUGAUCGGCCACACUGGAACUGAGACACGGUCCAGACUCCUACGGGAGGCAGCAGUAGGGAAUCUUCCGCAAUGGGCGAAAGCCUGACGGAGCAACGCCGCGUGAGCGAUGAAGGUCUUCGGAUCGUAAAACUCUGUUAUUAGGGAAGAACAUAUGUGUAAGUAACUGUGCACAUCUUGACGGUACCUAAUCAGAAAGCCACGGCUAACUACGUG